Molecule: long non-coding RNA, 636 nt
Filed under: Populus trichocarpa (black cottonwood)
Lineage: Eukaryota; Viridiplantae; Streptophyta; Magnoliopsida; Malpighiales; Salicaceae
Description: long non-coding RNA (PTRI_LNC004225)
Source: RNAcentral
GCGCCACAGCUAAUCCCAUUAAAAUAUAAGGUCUAUCCAUCUGUCUACCCCAAAGAAUGACAUCUCCAAAUCAGGACAAGACUUGUAAAUCUAGGAAGAUGAACUAUUACAUACAUUUAUAGUCAAAACAUCAUCUGAAUGUUGAAUUGAUUAGAGACUAGUAUUCUACUACCAGAAAGGUAAGAAGUACCAGUAGCUGGUUGCCGCUAAUCCUUCAAAGAAUGCUAGAUGCCCUCCAUGCUGUGGUGUAGCCAACACAAUGUUUGGAUUUGCUCUCUGAAAUGGUCAAAAGAGAAUUCAAAUCUCAGAAUAACACGGAAGUGGGUUGUUAAGGACACAAGUUAUUUCAGUAUCAUAGAAGAGGAUCCUCCUGCAUUCAUCCCAUUGAAUGGCUUCUCCAGUGCAGAUUGGAUCAUCCAGAGCACUAAUGCAUAGUCGUGGCACCGAUACAUUCCCCAACAUAGUAGUCUGAAAAAUAUAUGAUACUUUUGGAUGCUUAGAAGACAAGCGAGAGAGAAGGAAGAGAUGCAAAUGUCAGUUACUAACACCUCAAAUUUUCCAGUAAGGCAGGUUGCAUAGUUGUAAUGAUCCCAGAAAGCAUUAGGAGAAAUAUUAUACACAAAUUUAUGAUGUAAA